This 864-nucleotide ribosomal RNA is filed under the name Triticum aestivum (bread wheat). RNAcentral's name for it is "partial small subunit ribosomal RNA". Lineage: Eukaryota; Viridiplantae; Streptophyta; Magnoliopsida; Poales; Poaceae. The record is from RNAcentral.
AUGGUGAGUGUUCGGGACGCCCUUCUAGGGAAACAUGGUUGGAGACUCGUCACUAGCCCUCACUCGCUAUGUGCACGGGUGCUGAAAGGGAAGUAUUUCCCGAAUACUGACUUCUGGGAGGCCUCAGCGCAUCCGCAUGCUUCGUCCACUUGGCGUGCCAUCUUGGCAGGGAGAGAGGCUCUAGGUGUUGGUAUGAUCAAAAGGAUUGGAGAUGGCACUAUGGUUUCGAUUUGGGGCGACCCUUGGAUUCCAGGGCUGCUCUCCAUGAGGCCGUCGGUGCAGAUAGGGGCCGAUGCAAUACUCAAUAUUCCCUUAAGGCGUUUGGGAGGGGAGGAUUUUUGGGCAUGGUUUGAUGCGGUAGACAGGGCAAAAAUCAUUACGGUGAUGUGGGCUAUCUGGACCUCGCGCAACAAUAUUACCCAUGACAAGGCCACUAUGGAACCAGUUCAGUCACUUAAGAUGAUCAGAGAUGCUCUUAUGGUGUUGGAGCUCCCGAGCAAGCACGCAAGUAUAUUGCCAGGCCAUGGGUGGAGACCACCAGAGGGAGAGUUGAUUAAGAUCAAUACCGACGCUGGUAUUUCUAUGCAGGAGCAUAGAGGAGGGAUUGGGGGUGUGGCUCGUUCAUCUUCAGAUUUUCUUGCUGCUUGGUGCAAACCAUGCACAAGCACUACAGAUCCUCUCGCUGCGGAGGCGACAGCUAUACGUGAAGGUGUGAUUGUGGCAACACUCCGUGGCUUUGCGCGUGUGGAGAUUGAGACAGAUAGCUUGGAGCCCACCUCUGUGCGCAACAAGCAUGCACAAAGGAGGCAACGGAGUGUUGGAUGGGCUCCCCCCGGGUUUUCUGGUCACCAGCCUUAUGGCUGA